RNAcentral lists this ribosomal RNA (463 nucleotides) under Myrmeleon hyalinus. RNAcentral describes it as "partial 16S ribosomal RNA". It matches the Rfam family "Bacterial large subunit ribosomal RNA", at positions 1941 to 2610 of the family's 2925-position model. Lineage: Eukaryota; Metazoa; Arthropoda; Insecta; Neuroptera; Myrmeleontidae. The record is from RNAcentral.
UCUGACUGUGCAAAGGUAGCAUAAUCAUUUGCCUUUUAAUUAAAGGCUUGUAUGAAUGGUUGAACGAAAUACAAACUGUCUCACUCUAAAAAAUUUAAAAAUUUAGCUUUCAAGUCAAAAGGCUUGAAUAAUAUUAGAGGACGAGAAGACCCUAUAGAACUUUAUAAUAUUUUUUGUGAAUUUACAUAGUAAAAUAUUUUUUAUUUAUAAAUAUUAUUAUUUUGUUGGGGUGACAGGAAAAUAAGUAAAACUUUUUUGAAUUUUGAACAUUGAUUUAUGAAUAUUUGAUCCAUUAUUAGUGAUUAUUAGAAUAAGUUACCUUAGGGAUAACAGCGUAAUUUUGUUGGAGAGUUCAAAUCGAUAACAAAGUUUGCGACCUCGAUGUUGAAUUAAAGAAAUUUUAGAGUGCAGAAGCUUUAAGUAAUAGGUCUGUUCGACCUUUAAAUCUUUACAUGAUCUGAGU